AGACCCGAAACCCGGUGAUCUAGCCAUGGGCAGGUUGAAGGUUGGGUAACACUAACUGGAGGACCGAACCGACUAAUGUUGAAAAAUUAGCGGAUGACCUGUGGCUGGGGGUGAAAGGCCAAUCAAACCGGGAGAUAGCUGGUUCUCCCCGAAAGCUAUUUAGGUAGCGCCUCGUGAAUUCAUCUCCGGGGGUAGAGCACUGUUUCGGCUAGGGGGCCAUCCCGGCUUACCAACCCGAUGCAAACUGCGAAUACCGGAGAAUGUUAUCACGGGAGACACACGGCGGGUGCUAACGUCCGUCGUGAAGAGGGAAACAACCCAGACCGCCAGCUAAGGUCCCAAAGUCAUGGUUAAGUGGGAAACGAUGUGGGAAGGCCCAGACAGCCAGGAUGUUGGCUUAGAAGCAGCCAUCAUUUAAAGAAAGCGUAAUAGCUCACUGGUCGAGUCGGCCUGCGCGGAAGAUGUAACGGGGCUAAACCAUGCACCGAAGCUGCGGCAGCGACGCUUAUGCGUUGUUGGGUAGGGGAGCGUUCUGUAAGCCUGUGAAGGUGUGUCGUGAGGCAUGCUGGAGGUAUCAGAAGUGCGAAUGCUGACAUAAGUAACGAUAAAGCGGGUGAAAAGCCCGCUCGCCGGAAGACCAAGGGUUCCUGUCCAACGUUAAUCGGGGCAGGGUGAGUCGACCCCUAAGGCGAGGCCGAAAGGCGUAGUCGAUGGGAAACGGGUUAAUAUUCCCGUACUUGGUGUUACUGCGAAGGGGGGACGGAGAAGGCUAUGUUGGCCGGGCGACGGUUGUCCCGGUUUAAGCGUGUAGGCUGGUUUUCCAGGCAAAUCCGGAAAAUCAAGGCUGAGGCGUGAUGACGAGGCACUACGGUGCUGAAGCAACAAAUGCCCUGCUUCCAGGAAAAGCCUCUAAGCAUCAGGUAACAUCAAAUCGUACCCCAAACCGACACAGGUGGUCAGGUAGAGAAUACCAAGGCGCUUGAGAGAACUCGGGUGAAGGAACUAGGCAAAAUGGUGCCGUAACUUCGGGAGAAGGCACGCUGACACGUAGGUGAAGUGAUUUACUCAUGGAGCUGAAGUCAGUCGAAGAUACCAGCUGGCUGCAACUGUUUAUUAAAAACACAGCACUGUGCAAACACGAAAGUGGACGUAUACGGUGUGACGCCUGCCCGGUGCCGGAAGGUUAAUUGAUGGGGUCAGCGCAAGCGAAGCUCCUGAUCGAAGCCCCGGUAAACGGCGGCCGUAACUAUAACGGUCCUAAGGUAGCGAAAUUCCUUGUCGGGUAAGUUCCGACCUGCACGAAUGGCGUAAUGAUGGCCAGGCUGUCUCCACCCGAGACUCAGUGAAAUUGAACUCGCUGUGAAGAUGCAGUGUACCCGCGGCAAGACGGAAAGACCCCGUGAACCUUUACUAUAGCUUGACACUGAACAUUGAGCCUUGAUGUGUAGGAUAGGUGGGAGGCUUUGAAGUGUGGACGCCAGUCUGCAUGGAGCCGACCUUGAAAUACCACCCUUUAAUGUUUGAUGUUCUAACGUGGACCCGUGAUCCGGGUUGCGGACAGUGUCUGGUGGGUAGUUUGACUGGGGCGGUCUCCUCCUAAAGAGUAACGGAGGAGCACGAAGGUUGGCUAAUCCUGGUCGGACAUCAGGAGGUUAGUGCAAUGGCAUAAGCCAGCUUGACUGCGAGCGUGACGGCGCGAGCAGGUGCGAAAGCAGGUCAUAGUGAUCCGGUGGUUCUGAAUGGAAGGGCCAUCGCUCAACGGAUAAAAGGUACUCCGGGGAUAACAGGCUGAUACCGCCCAAGAGUUCAUAUCGACGGCGGUGUUUGGCACCUCGAUGUCGGCUCAUCACAUCCUGGGGCUGAAGUAGGUCCCAAGGGUAUGGCUGUUCGCCAUUUAAAGUGGUACGCGAGCUGGGUUUAGAACGUCGUGAGACAGUUCGGUCCCUAUCUGCCGUGGGCGCUGGAGAACUGAGGGGGGCUGCUCCUAGUACGAGAGGACCGGAGUGGACGCAUCACUGGUGUUCGGGUUGUCAUGCCAAUGGCACUGCCCGGUAGCUAAAUGCGGAAGAGAUAAGUGCUGAAAGCAUCUAAGCACGAAACUUGCCCCGAGAUGAGUUCUCCCUGAGACUUAAAGUCUCCUGAAGGAACGUUGAAGACGACGACGUUGAUAGGCCGGGUGUGUAAGCGCAGCGAUGCGUUGAGCUAACCGGUACUAAUGAACCGUGAGGCUUAACCUU
This 2237-nucleotide ribosomal RNA is filed under the name Salmonella enterica. RNAcentral describes it as "partial 23S ribosomal RNA". It matches the Rfam family "Bacterial large subunit ribosomal RNA", at positions 711 to 2925 of the family's 2925-position model. The record is from RNAcentral. Lineage: Bacteria; Pseudomonadati; Pseudomonadota; Gammaproteobacteria; Enterobacterales; Enterobacteriaceae. RNAcentral also lists the same sequence under 1 other name.